Molecule: ribosomal RNA, 558 nt
Filed under: Osedax rubiplumus
Lineage: Eukaryota; Metazoa; Annelida; Polychaeta; Sabellida; Siboglinidae
Description: partial 16S ribosomal RNA
Rfam family: Bacterial large subunit ribosomal RNA
Source: RNAcentral
UCGCCUGUUUAUUCAAAACAUAGCCUCCUGACCCAAUAUAGGAGGUUCAUCCUGCUCUAUGAUAUUUAUUAAAUGGCCGCGGUAUCCUGACCGUGCAAAGGUAGCAUAAUCAUUUGCCUCCUAAUUAGAGGCUGGAAUGAAUGGACACACGAAAUCUAAGCUGUCUCAUAGGUUAUAAUAAAAAUUUAUCUCCAAGUGAAGAAACUUGGAUAAAUUUGAAAGACAAGAAGACCCUAAUGAGCUUUAAUUCUCUCCUGUUUCUCUCUAAAAUUUUAAUUAUUAACUAAACAUUAUAGAAUUUUUGUUGGGGCGACAAAAGAAAUCAAGUUACUUCUUUAUAUAAAAUAAGAGAAAUUCCUCUAAAUAUUUGACCUAAUUUUAAUUAAUCAAUAGCACUAGCUACCAUAGGGAUAACAGACUAAUUUUUCUCCAGAGCUCAAAUUUACAGAAAAGAUUGGCACCUCGAUGUUGGCUUAGAGGCCCCUUAUGAUGCAGCAGUCAUAAAAGGUGGGUUUGUUCAACCCUUAAAACUCUACGUGAUCUGAGGUUCAGACCGGA